This 10946-nucleotide long non-coding RNA is filed under the name Manihot esculenta (cassava). Its description in RNAcentral is "long non-coding RNA (MESC_LNC003822)". Lineage: Eukaryota; Viridiplantae; Streptophyta; Magnoliopsida; Malpighiales; Euphorbiaceae. The record is from RNAcentral.
AAUGAUACUGAUCAAUGCAAAAGGUGAAGUCAUCACAGCGAGAUCAAAGGUUGAAACGCUUGUGGUAUAAUUGCUUAAGGAUUGGUAGCUGAUUCAGGUUUGGUGUCUUUGGAAGGGAAUGUGGACUUUGGUAACUCAGGCAAGUGGGGAAAAGUUGGCAGUUCAGGUUUUGGCAACUCAGGCAAGUGGGGAAAAGCUGGCAGUUCAGGCUUUGGAAACUCAGGCAAUUCAGGUUUUGGCAGCGUGGGAAUUUCAGGCUUCGACAACUCAGGCAAUUCAGGUAAUUUUGGCAGAGUGGGAAGUUCAGGUUUAGGAAAGGUUGGGACUUCAGGUAAUGGUGGAAGCUCAACCUUAGGAAGUAAUGGCAAGUCAGGCAAUUCAGGCUUAGGAAGCUCCGGGACCUCAGGUAAUGUUGUCUCUAGAAGCUGUCGUGCUUCUGCAGAGAUUGACAGAGCAACGAGUGAGAGCAGAACAAUGAGUGAAGGGGAGCGAAGAUUGGCCAUAACUAUGCAACAAGAUCAAUCAGCUGUAAAUACAAUUUAUCCUCACUUUUGUUUUGUGUGUGUUGAUGUUCACUUGUGUUGAGCUUUUAUAGAAGUGGGAAGUGAAGAAUGGGGAACUUCCAAAGGUGAUUUAGUGGGAAAAGUUGUGUUAGCUCAACUUCCCACCCAUAAGACUCCCACUGUUGGCAUGACCAACUAUAGACUUCCUUACAAGUGUAACCUUGCUAUCUUUCUAUAUGGAGUCCAGAGAUUGGUUAGAUUGAUAAUAAGCUAAAAUAUGGUUCUCACUUGUAAUCAUUCUCAGAAAUCAGAACACUUGUGAAGUUCAAGCUUUUUCACCUAUUUAAUAAUUCACUUCUUUCCUGUUCUACCUACAAAAGAUGAGAUUCUGAAGAAUGGUUCUUCUUUAGUUACUUUAAAAUAAUGUUCAACGAAGAUAGCCUCAUCUGCAAAGUUGGCCAACCUACACACUAAACUUUGACAUGUCUUUCUUUUUAUUGAAGCUCUGACUGAUCUUCACAUCACAUCCAAUUAUCCACAAGGUACUCUUCUAUUUGAAAUUAAGAAUUUUAUUAAAAAUUAAUUCAAUUGAUUUCUUUUAUAUCAAUCUCUUGGUUGGAAUGAGAUUCAAUUUUUUUGACUUAUAAAAUUUUCAUAUUAAAAAAAUUGAAACCAUGUGUAUUCUUGUAAGAAUUUAUUUAUAUUCUUUUUUUUUUCAAACUGAAUCAUUGCAAACAAAAGGACUAUAUAAGGUAGUAUAUAUGAUUCUCAGUUGUAAUUAUAACAGUUCAAAAUAUGUCUAAUCACAUUAGUUUCGGUAGAUCUUCAACAAACUGAAAAUUACUAAUGUUUACAACGGAAUCUGUCUCAGCAAUAUGUAAUCUCCAUAUGCUUUUUUAGUUUUCAGAAACCUUGUAAUUUUUACAGAAUAAAGGAAUUUUACCAUUACGGGUGUAACAUCUAGUUAAACUCCGAUGUCGGAAUCUCAACGUUCUGACGGAAUCUCCGUCGAGAUCCAGAAUCUCGAAGCUAAAAUUUUUAGAAGGAUAAAAUAGAGUUUUCAUAAAAUGAAUUAAAAAUUUUUCUUGGUGUGUUUUAAAAAAAAAUAAAAAAUUUAGAGGAGUUUUAAAGUUCGGCCGCCGAAGACGGCUCUUCCAGCCACUUAUAAAAGGCCUUCAACCCAAAAAUAUGAGAACUCUUUCUCUAUUUUCGAGCAGAGGUAAGUCCAUGCCCUUUUCCAGACAUUCUUGCUAAAAUUACUUCAAAUCUCUUGGAGAAUACAUGAGUUUUUACUUCAUUUUUUAAGAUUUGAGUUUGGAUUUCAAGCUUUAAACUUUGGAGACCUCCGAAAAUCGAUUUCCCAAUUCUCCAAAUCUUGGUUGUUGUGUUUUCUAUGUUUUUCAAGAGGUAAGUUCAAUCUUUGCUUUUCUUAUGCUUUUUGAAGGUUUUAAACCGAUAUUAUAAGUUGUUAGGACAUGCAUGAUUGAUUAUUCUAAAGUUUUAAAGUUUGAGUUAGUUUUGAUGAUGGAUGAUUUUCUCCUGGGAUUUUGUUGAUGCAUGUUGAGUUUAGAACAGUUUUUGAGGUCUCUUAUGCGUGUUAAGUGUGUAUGGUAGUCUUUAGCCUGUUGCAUGUAAGUUUGGGUUUGUUUAUUGGCUAUGAGCAUAGGGCAAAAUCAGGUUCUGCCUUACUGGAGAUCCUAGGUUCAGCCGCUGAAGCAAGGUUCGGCCACCAAAUCUGUCUGUAGAGGCAGCCAUUUGGCCACCUAACCUGCCGCUGAAAGUCCUCUGUUCAGCCUUUUUCAGCUUGUUUCCUACGUGUGUUCUUGUAUGUUCUUAGGGGUUUUCUUGAGGGUAGUUUAAGUAUUGUAAUAGUUAUGUUUGGUUCCUCAUUUAAAUCCAUCUAUGUAGGAUCGGACUUUGGAGACUGUAGAGGCUUGCAGUGAGAUAACUGCUUCAGUACUAGGCGUGCAUCAGUCAAAGGUGAGUAGAACUGAACUGAUAUAUUAUUUUAAAGAAAUCAAACUUUUUAAGCAUACUCAUACAUCACGAAUGUCAUGUAUAUACGAUUAGGUUGUUUUGCAUUAGAGUUCACGAAUAUAAUACAUUGCAUAAAUUAUUGUUGUUGUGGAUGGACGUUGGAUGACCCACUAGCCCUCGAGUAUGUUAUGAUAUGUUAUGAUGGAUAUGGAAAGACUAGGGUUGCCUAUUCUACGCCUCUGGCACUAUGUAAGGGAAAGACCAGGGCUGCCCAUUCUAUGCCCCUUGCACUAUGGAUAUGUUAUGUUAUAUUUAAGAGGAAAACCUGAGGAGCACUCGUCGUGGGCCGAGCACUAUUGAAAUCUGUAGAGGGUUACUGAUGACAAGUCCAUUUUGAUGUAAAUUGUUUGUGCUGUGAUGCAUUCAUACAAUCAUAUAUUUUAUUGAACUGUUUUUUUAUGUUCUGCUCACUAGACUCUUAUAGUUUAUCCCCUUUCCCCUAAUCCCAGGUUUGCAGGAUCAAAGUUAGCUCGGGAAGUCGGCUGAGUUGCUGGUAUAGCCUAUUGUAAUAGUAUAGCUAUGGAAAUAUAUUCAUUUGUGGAUUAGAAUUGUGCUUUGCCCGGGUUCUUCCUUGUAAUCCUUGUUUCAUGAUCAUUUUAUAUAAAAGUUUUUAAGUAUAAGUUUAUGUUUAAAUCGAGCUUGAGGCAUGUUAUGUCACACCCAUUCUCAAAACUGUGGAGAUGGAUAUGACCCGAAAAACUGACAGAACUUCCCCUGUUGUUAAUACAUAUAACUCAUAUGACCUGCUAUAAUUUCAAAAUAUAAAACAUAUAAGAGAUGAUUGAUAGCUAGACUGGUCAAUACAUAAUAUAUUUACAAUAAACAAAACACGUUCAUCAUUUGAAUUUACAAUCUAUACAUAAUCUGUCAAAAUUACAAAAAGAAAAGACAAGACCUAGGAUUGGUCCGACCUCCUCUAGACUCUGAGUGGACGAUGUGGAAGGAAUAACAAACUAGGAGAUGAGGACUGCUGAGCGGAUCACCAAAAAAAAACUGAAUAUUAAAAGAAAUAAGAGUGAGUACAACAUAUUCAGUGAGUGGAUAAAUAAAUAACAAAGGGGAAAAGAUAAGUUUAGGUAAUUAAUAGUACCAAAUAUUUAGCUAAAAUAAGUCAGCUGAAUAAAUACAAUUUAAUUCCUAGGCCUGGGCCUUAUAUGUUAUGUUGACCAUACCGAAGCAUUUGAUGAGGGCUCUAGUAUAGGUUUUAUGUUUUCAGUUACGAUGCAUGCACAAGUCGAGUCUUGGUUCAUGUAAUAAUUAUAUUUUUGUUGUUUGUAUGAUCAUGCAUGGAAUUAUAUCAUAUGUAAUAGGAUGUAUAGUAUGCUUGCUGUGGGCUCCAGUGACCUUAAGUCGAUUUGAACCCUAGCACCGGUAGUGGUCUGGUUCCCGGGUCGUUACAGAGUGGUAUCAAAGCCCUAGAUUCAUAUGACUGGGCCUAGAGUGUUGGGCUCAUAGAUGUUAUAGAGGGCAAAUACAAUUAGGAAAUAUUAUAUCCACUAGGAUAGAAUGUAGAGUCUUGUCAUGAUAUAUGUGAUAACCUCCAGAUCUUUCCUAGCCCAGGAAUAAGGUCGGGUCCAAAAGAAGGCACAGGUCCAAAGCCCAUCAGAUCAUACGCUCGAGAGGCGGCUCGACUUCACGAGCCUGGGCCGGCAACCCAGGAUGAUCCGGAUCAGAUAUGAGCACAAGCCCCAUAAGGGAGUAGGCCCAAUCACUCACCAGCUCUACCCGCAUGCUCUCUGGAGAGCAUUAAAUGGCCGUUACGCAUGGAGCAGGUGCCUGACACGCCCGUAUGUACGGGCCUGAGUGACAAGGACAGGAAGCACUAUAUAUCGGGGGGUCUCCUCUUGCAAGGGGGAUCUUCUUCUUUUUCUUCUCCUGCCUGGACUCCAUUUUUAUUUUCUCUGCAACUCUUGCCUAGAUAUACUACUCUUAUUCAUGAAACCUGACUUGAACGUCGGAGGGUCUCCGCUGGGGCAUCCCGGUGGACCCUUGACCAUUUUUCCUUAUUUUGCAGGUCCCUUUCUCAGAUAGAACAUGGAGAGACCCAUUUGACAGAUUCGUCUGGGAGCCCAAGAAGGAAUCAGAUCCACAUAAGAGGGGGCGAGGGAGGACCAGAUCUAACAAAUAUGGAGCCCAGGGAGAUUUAAAGUUAUCAAUAUGUAUAAUGAUGUAUAAUGUCAUGACUAUAUACAUGUGCAUUGAUGAUAUGAUAGGUAUGAUGUGGGUUCAUGUGUAUCCACAUGAACCAUAUGAUGCUAAUGCCUAUAUGUUUAAAUGAUUUUUCAGAAGACAGAAUGCAUGGCUUAUGUCGAUCUGUACGAUUGACUAGAGUCCCAUCCGAAAAAUGAGGGUAUAGACGCCCUUCCUCCUGCUGCUCCGUCAAGAGUGCGGUCAAGUAGAAAUAACAAGAAUGAAAAGUCAAGAGACCCUAUAAUGUCUUUUAAUAUAAACAAAAAGAGAACAGAUCCGAGUAGGAUGUUUGCAGAUGCCAGAAAAACAGUAGGAAAUGAUUAGAGGAGAGAUAGAAGUUUGGGUAUGAGUUUUGAAGUAGAGGGUGUGGGAGAGUCUGAAAGAGGAACAGAAGGCGUCAGACCAUAGGAUCCGCCUAUCCACCUCAGUACCAACCCUAUGCACAGGAACUCGGGUAUCCGAUGGAAAGUACAACAGAUUACUCUAGCUACCACCCAUACCCCUCAUUCAUACCCUAUCCUCCUUGCUAUUCAUUAUAUCCACCCUACCCUAUCUUAUGUUUUCGCCUCCUCCCCAUUACUAGAAUUUGGCAAACUCUAACUCAGGAAAUGUUGCACCACCUCCUCCUCCAGCAAAACCAGCUAGAAAAAAGUUUUUAUACCCAGAUAGAAAAAAGUUUUUUCUUCAAACUAUAUCAUUCAUUUUAUUUUAUUUACAAUUUUAAUUAAAUCAGUUUUUGAUAAUUUUUCAAAAAAUUAAAUUUGAAAUAAAACAGAUAUUUUUUUUAAAAAUUUUAGGACAUUAAUAAUUUUUAACUUUGAUUAGCAAUUUAUAAUAUUAAACAUUAUACUUUUUAAUUAACAACAAUUCCAUUUAAUUUUCUAAGUUCAGUAAUUCUCUUUAUGGCCCUGAACUAUUUAAUAAGAUUGAUGAGGGUCAUAGCAAAAACCAAAUAAAUAAACUGGAUCAAUUUUGUAUAUAGAAUAUAAACAUACAACGUACAUCAUACAAAAGCUGAAACAAAAAUAUUAUAGGACUAAAACUCACUUCAAAUUUAAGCAUGCAUAUAUAUAACAUAUGAAUCAGACACUUAAGAACACAUAAAUGAUACUGAUCAAUGCAAAAGCUGAAGUCAUCACAGCGAGAUCAAACGUUGAAACCCUUGUGGUAUAAUUGCUUAAGGAUUGGUAGCUGAUUCAGGUUUGGUGUCUUUGGAAGGGAAUGUGGACUUUGGUAACUCAGGCAAGUGGGGAAAAGUUGGCAGUUCAGGUUUUGGCAACUCAGGCAAGUGGGGAAAAGCUGGCAGUUCAGGCUUUGGAAACUCAGGCAAUUCAGGUUUUGGCAGCGUGGGAAUUUCAGGCUUCGACAACUCAGGCAAUUCAGGUAAUUUUGGCAGAGUGGGAAGUUCAGGUUUAGGAAAGGUUGGGACUUCAGGUAAUGGUGGAAGCUCAACCUUAGGAAGUAAUGGCAAGUCAGGUAAUUCAGGCUUGGGAAGCUCCGGGACCUCAGGUAAUGUUGUCUCUAGAAGCUGCCGUGCUUCUGCAGAGAUUGACAGAGCAACGAGUGAGAGCAGAACAAUGAGUGAAGGGGAGCGAAGAUUGGCCAUAAUUAUGCAACAAGAUCAAUCAGCUGUAAAUAAAAUUUAUCCUCACUUUGUUUUGUGUGUGUUGAUGUUCACUUGUGUUGAGCUUUUAUAGAAGUGGGAAGUGAAGAAUGGGGAACUUACAAAGGUGAUUUAGUGGGAAAAGUUGUGUUAGCUCAACUUCCCACCCAUAAGACUCCCACUGUUGGCAUGACCAACUAUAGACUUCCUUACAAAUGUAACCUUGCUAUCUUUCUAUAUGGAGUCCAGAGAUUGGUUAGAUUGAUAAUAAGCUAAGAUAUGGUUCUCACUUGUAAUCAUUCUCAGAAAUCAGAACACUUGUGAAGUUCAAGAUUUUUCACCUAUUUAAUAAUUCACCUCUUUCUUGUUCUACCUACAAAAGAUGAGAAUCUGAAGAAUGGUUCUUCUUUAGUUACUUUAAAAUAAUGUUCAAUGAAGAUAGCCUCAUCUUCAAAGUUGGCCAACCUACACACUAAACUUUGACAUGUCUUUCUUUUCGUUGAAGCUCUGACUGAUCUUCACAUCCAAUUAUUCAAGUUAAUCUUCUAUUUGAAAUUAAGAAUUUUACUAAAAAUUAAUCCAAUUGAUUUCUUUUAUAUAGAUCUCUUGGUUGGAAUGAUAUUCAAUUUUUUUUUAACUUAUAAAAUUUUUAUAUUAAAAAAAUUAAAACUAUGUGUAAUCUUGUUAGAAUUUAUUUGUAUUAUUUUCUUUCAAACUGAAUCAUUGCAAACACAAGGACUAUAUGAGAGAGUAUAUAUAAAUCUCAGUUGUAAUUAUAACAGUUUAGAAUAUGUCUAAUCACAUUAGUUUUGGUAUAUCUUGAACAAACCGAAAAUUACUAAUGUUUAUAACGGAAUCUGUCUCAACAACAUCUAAUCUCGAUAUGCUUUUCCAAUUAAUCUCGAUAUGCUUUUCCAAUUUUCAGAAGCCUUAUAACUUUUACAGAAUAAAAGAAUUUUACCACGGAGAGUUCAUUUAAUCUUUGAUUUGAUUUGAGUAAAAAUAAAUAAAUUGAAUUAAAUCAAACCAAAUUUUGAAGAGUUCAAACUUAUUUUUUAAAUUUUUUUUAAGUUUGAGUUUCAUUUUGAACUUGAGCCAAGUAUUAAUAAGCUUAAAUUUGGCUCAUUUAGCAAACGAAUUUAGAUAAAUCGAAUUUUUAUCGAGUUUAGUUUUGAAUAAUUUACGAAAAGUUCAAUUUAUUUACAUAUAUAUAUAUAAUAAGAUUUAGUUGAAAACUAAUACGUUUAAAACUAAAUAAUUUUAGUUAAAUAAGUAUAUAUAUAAAUUAGCUUUUAAAAUUAUAAAGGAUGAGUUUUUAAAUUUUAAUGAUUCAAAUAUCUAUAAAUUUUAAAAGUAUAAUUAAACUAUGCAAGUUGAACUUUAAAAAACUUAGAUCUGAUUCAUGAAAAUAUAUACAAAGUAUAAUUUAGUUCUCUUAUAAUAUUACUUUCCGUAUGCUUAUUUGAGACCGUUUAUAAGUUUGUUCGCGAGCUUGCUCAUAAAUUCGAAAAUGAGCUGAAUUCGUGAGUCUUAAAGAGUCUAAUACAAAUGAAUCUGAAAAUUAAGUUCAAUCUUGAUUCAUUUAGAAAUCAAGUUGAGUUUGAUUGAACUUUUUAUCGAAUUGAACUUUCAAUAAUUCACGGACAAUUUAAUCCAUUUACACCACUAAUAGUUAUUUAGGGUCAGAUAUAAUUGCGCUCUAUAAUAGUAGAACUAAAGAGUUGGUUCUAUUAAUUACCACAGAGCCAAUCUAUUAUUGGUCGUUGAUAGAUGCGCAUUGUGGGAGUAACCCUAAUGGAAAAAUUAAUUGAUUGAAAGCUUACUUUGUAGUCAAUAAAUUACCACUAAAAUAUGAGCUUGAUUACAAUAAUAUUUUGACUCAAAUGGCUAAAAUUUUAUCAAUUCGUCUUCUUGUCUCCUUAACAACAUCCACAUCAUUGGCCUCUUUAUUGAAUAGAUAAAAAAAAUUACUUUUUAUACGAAGAACUUAUAAAGAAAGUUCUUAUAAAGCAAUCAUCAGACCAUCAGAGUUUGUUGCUGAGAGGAUCAGGCAUGGUAUGCCAUUUAUGACAAAUACCACACGGGUUAAAAGUAGCCUGUAAGGAUGUUGUUUGGAUAGUUUAGUAAUGGGAUCCAACAGAUUAGGAUGUGUAGGAGUGAAGCCUAAUGUGCCCCUUAUAUGGGUCAUAGGCAAUCCUCCCCCUUGAGCUAGCUUUUGGGGUGAGUUAGGCCUGGCCCAAAUUUAACUUGGUAUCAAAGCCUCCCCAUCCGAUGUUGGGCCUCCCAUAAAUGUGUCACGCACCAGUAAAAUUCUGGGCGUGAGGGGGGUAUGUUGAAUCCCACAUCGGUUGUGGAAAGGGGUAAUGUGCCCCUUAUAUGGGUCAUAUAUAUAUAUAUCAUUAAAUAAAGCAUAAUUCUUGUAUAGAUUGAGUCUAUACGGACAUGUAGUAUAAAUUAUAUGUGAUUUGUUAUAGCUGUCACUACUAUUUUAUAUUACAGUCUGAUGACUGCUGGAUUUCUUCACCCCGACCUAAAGGCCAGGCCCCUGAAAACAGUCCAUAAUCCGAAGGCUUCAAUAUUCCCCUCGAGAGCCAGGUCUAGCCCGCUCAGUCACAGGGCCGGACUCUGCCUAGACUCCUCAAUCAAGCCGGCCCAAACCUCUCGGCCCAAUAAUCAGGCCCUCACCAGGCUCAACUUCAGCCCUACCAUUCAACCCAGCCCAGAAAGAGGAAAAUGACUAACCUGCCCCGCUGAUGGGUCCUUCCGCAUGCGUAUCAGAGGAGAAUUAAUGGUCGUUACGCAUGGAGCAGGCGCCUGACACAUCCGUACAUACAGAGCUGGGCGGCAGAAGACAGCUAGCAUUGUGGCAGAGAGACAGAUAUAUAUAUUACAGUAGAGGCCACGCAAAAGAGGGGGCUCUCUCUUCUUCUUCCUUCUCCUUCCUGGACACCAUUUUUAUUCUUUCUGCAACCCUUGCCUAAAUAUACUACUCUGAGCCAUAAAAUCUGACUUGAGCGUCGGAGGGCCUCCACCGGGGCACCCCCGGUAGGCCCCUGACCAUUCUUUCUUAUUUUACAGGUCCUUUCACCAGGUAAAACAUGGAGAGAUCCAUCAGGGAGCCCAGCAAGAAGGGACCCAGAAGAAAACCAGAUCUAUCAUGGACCAGGAAGAGGAAAAAAUUUAUCACAGUCCAUAUAAAACCGGUGUAGAUAAGUUUUUGCCCUUCAAGGAAAAUUGGUAAAAGAAUAUAAUUAGUAAAUUCUUUCAAUUUUUAGUAUAUGGAAAAUAAUUAUCACCCAUGAUUGAAUUAUUGGACAACAUCAUCAAAGAGAACUCUAGCAAAGUCCUUUCGUAUUUUCAUAUUUUCACUCUGUACCGAAUAAUUUUUGUUUUUUUUUUUUAAAUGAGAAUUGGAGAUUAGGAGAGUAGAACCUAAGCUUGUAAAUGCAGAUUGAAUAGUCUUAUAAUUGAAAUAUCUAAAUAAAAUCAUAAACAAAAUGAAUUUUAACUCAGAUCUUAACAAAUUAAUAUAAUAAUCUCAAUUUGAUCUAGUGUAUCUUUUGAUUUACAGUUUUUUAAGUCAAAUGUCAAUGAUAAAUUUAAAAUUUUAGUAGUUUUUUUCUCGUAACUCUAUUCCUAUUAUUAGAAUCUCUCUUUUACCGAAAAAUUCUUCAUAGUUAUGGAGGAAAAAUUUUUCUUUUUCUUGAAAAACUUAUCAUUUAUUUUAUUUUAUUUAUAAUUUUAAUUAAAUCGGUUGUUCAUAAUUUUUCAAAAAUUUAGAUUUGAAAUAAAAUAUAUUUUUUUUAAUUUUAGGCCAUCAGUAAUUUUUAAGUUCAGUGACUCAUAAUAUUAAAUUUAUAUUUUUUUAAUUCACAACAAUAUUUUAAUUUUUAAGUUCUGUAAAUUCUUGUGGCUCUGUGUGAAUGUGCUUGGAUCAUGAACUAUCAAUAAGAUUCAUCACAAUCAUACCCAAGAUCAAGAUCAAAUAAAUAAGCUGAUCAACUCUGCAAAUAGAAUAUAAACUGUACAUCAUACAAAUAUUUGAAAUAUAAAGAUUACAGGACUAACAUCCACUCCAAAUUUAAUCAUAUAUAUAUGUAAUCAAUGAUACUGAUCAAUGCGAAAGAUGAAGUCAUCACUGUGAGAUCAAACAUCGAAACAUUUAUGGUAUAGUUGUUUAAGGACUGGGAGUUGAUUGAGGAGGUUUUGUGUCCUUGGCAAGGAAUGUGGGCUUUGGUAACUCUGGCAAGUGGGGAAAAGUUGGCAGUUCAGGUUUUGGUAACUCAGGCAAUUCAAGUUUUGGCAAAGUGGGAAUUUCAGGCUUUGGCAACUCAGGCAAUUCAGGUUUUGGCAGUGUGGGAAGUUCAGGCUUAGGGAAGGCUGGGACUUCUGGUAAUGGUGGAAGCUCAACCUUAGGCAGUGAAGGCAAUUCAGGCUUGGGAAGCUCAGAUACCUCAGGCAAUGCUGUUUUUAGAAGGUGUCGUGCAUCUACGGAUUGACAGAGUGAUAAGUGAGAGCAUAAUGAUGAGGGAAGGGGAGCGAUGAUCGGCCAAAAUGCGACAAGAUCAACCACCUGCAAAGUGAAUAGUAAUUAAAAUUUCUGGACAAUUUUG